GCAUCUCCAGUUACCAAUCCCAGCGACGCCGACGCCCAUCAUGUGCUCGCCAUAGGUCACCGUUGGUCUCCCAUCUUCCCUAGCGGCUAGCGCCGGCCCCCAUUGGGAGCCACGCGUAGAGGCCAUGAACAAGGCGGGCCGGCGACAUAAAUCAGGCCGCGGCGGCGUGGUGUUCCCGUCGUGACAUGUGCUUCUCCCGGCGGCCGAGCGGCUCCUCGACGUCCAUGAGGUCCCCCACCUUGGCCUCCUCCACCAGUGUACAUCAGGUUUCGUCGGCGAUGCGAAUACUGCGGCCGAGCCUAGCUGGGCCUGCAGCGCAAGCACCCGCGCGACUGGCAUCGUCAACGCGGCUUCCAACUCGGCGAAGAGGGGCGCACGGCGCGAGAUACCGUGUUGUUCUUCUUGUCAGGAGACGUCAAUGCGGUGGCCUUGCUGAUCUGAGCCUGGAUGUUGAGCAACCGCACGGCCAUGGUCGACGCGGUACCGGUCAUGUCGAGGGACGGCAAUAGCGUGCGCACCGCAGUGCGGCCGCUGUCCGCCGAGGAGCUCUACGGGGGACGGUCUGCGAUGUCGCCGCGGUCGACAUCGGACCCCAUGGACACAGCGGCCAGAAGACUGCACGCACAGAGCUCAAGCUGUUGGCACGGUGGCGGCACCGGCGCUUGCGUCGGAGCAGCUUCGGCUUCGGCGGCUGCCACAGCUGCUGCGCCCUCGGCUAGCCCCUGAAGAGCGAGAGCCCGCCGCUGCACUGGUUGCACUCCCUCUGCAUGGUCCACGCGCCGAGUUUUCGACCUCGACCACGCCCAACCGUCCGGUGGCAGCCAUGGACCGCGACCUCCCCGAUCAUGCCCCACCAUCUCACAUUCCCUCCUCGCCUCUAGAGCUCCGCCGUUGCUUCCGUCUCGGCCGUCAGCCGUUGGCAUCACCGCCAUCGUCUUCACCUUGGUGCAGCCAUCUCCUUCUUGACUUGAACAUACACUGAAUAUUUCAGGCUUGCAUUCAGUAUUUGUUAUGUUGAUCACCUUGCUCUGCUUUUCCUUUGAGAAACACCAAUGCGGCUUAUAUGCCUCAGCACACUAUAUACCCAAGUUAUGACAUUAUCCAAGCAACGCACUCUGAAGAAAACCCGAUCCUUUUCUGAUUUCAGUGAUCCAGUGAUGGACUCAAAAUUCUGAUACGUACCAACUACUAUUUCUUUUCUUUUUCUUGAAGAGGACUAACUACUAUUUCUCUGUGUUGGUGGCAACUUUUAAACAGUGUCUUCACACAUUAGCGAUUUUUACUUGUAAGCACAUGCCAAUUCAGUUUGCAGAAUGAAGUCUUAUAUGACAUUGUGAUUUGCUUACACUCAACACAGCUAUAGCAAAAUGACAUACGGAUUGUAAGUGAUUAGUCAGAAUCAGUGACAUCUGGUUAGUAACCUGAUAUAA
This is a long non-coding RNA of Triticum aestivum (bread wheat), 1430 nucleotides long. RefSeq lists it as uncharacterized. Lineage: Eukaryota; Viridiplantae; Streptophyta; Magnoliopsida; Poales; Poaceae. The transcript has 2 exons. The record is from RefSeq and is a predicted model, not a curated record.